Molecule: ribosomal RNA, 253 nt
Filed under: uncultured bacterium
Lineage: Bacteria
Description: partial 16S ribosomal RNA
Rfam family: Bacterial small subunit ribosomal RNA
Source: RNAcentral
UACAGAGGUCCCGAGCGUUGUUCGGAUUCACUGGGCGUAAAGGGUGCGUAGGUGGUGAGGUAAGUCGGAUGUGAAAUCUCCGAGCUCAACUCGGAAAUGGCAUUGGAAACUACCUUGCUCGAGGGUUGGAGGGGGGACUGGAAUACUUGGUGUAGCAGUGAAAUGCGUAGAUAUCGAGAGGAACACCAGUGGCGAAGGCGAGUCCCUGGACAACACCUGACACUGGGGCACGAAAGCUAGGGGAGCAAACAGG